GAUGAAGAACGUAGCGAAAUGCGAUAAGUAAUGCGAAUUGCAGAAUCCGUGAAUCAUCGAAUCUUUGAACGCACAUUGCGCCCUUUGGUAUUCCAAAGGGCAUGCCUGUUCGAGCGUCAUUUGUACCCUCAAGCUUUGCUUGGUGUUGGGCGUCUUGUCUCUAGCUUUGCUGGAGACUCGCCUUAAAGUAAUUGGCAGCCGGCCUACUGGUUUCGGAGCGCAGCACAAGUCGCACUCUCUAUCAGCAAAGGUCUAGCAUCCACUAAGCCUUUUUUUCAACUUUUGACCUCGGAUCAGGUAGGGAUACCCGCUGAACUUAAGCAUAUCAAUAAGCGGAGGA
RNAcentral lists this unclassified non-coding RNA (340 nucleotides) under soil metagenome. Its description in RNAcentral is "partial contains 5.8S ribosomal RNA, internal transcribed spacer 2, and large subunit ribosomal RNA". The stretch from base 1 to 119 matches the Rfam family "5.8S ribosomal RNA", at positions 35 to 154 of the family's 154-position model. The record is from RNAcentral.